This is an RNA transcript of Coccinella septempunctata (seven-spotted ladybird), 899 nucleotides long. It is a transcript of the gene named ubiquitin-conjugating enzyme E2 W, with no coding region annotated. The transcript has 6 exons. The record is from RefSeq and is a predicted model, not a curated record. NCBI's taxonomy places the organism in Eukaryota, Metazoa, Arthropoda, Insecta, Coleoptera, Coccinellidae.
AACGAAACUGACUGAAGGCGAAAUGUCAUUUAUUUCAUUGGUUCAAAACAAAAUACAGAUUUUAUUUGACAUUUGUUUAGGUUUUGAAUUCUGUGCAAUAUCUUGGCCAAAAAUGAAUUAAGCUAAUCAUUUAAUUAAAUAUCAAGUUCUAUUUACUCCGGCGAGACCUUCUGAAUUUAUCCUGAAACGUUCACCUUGUUUGAACAUUAGAAUGACUGUCUAUUGACAAAGGGAAAAUCAAAAUGGCAGGAAUGUCACCAUCAGAGAGAAGAUUACAAAAAGAAUUGAUGUCUCUUAUGAAAGAGCCUCCACCAGGGGUUACUGUAGAUGCUGAAAUUGCUGAGCAAAAUUUAUUACAUUGGAUCAUUCGAAUGGAAGGUGUAUCAGGUACUUUGUAUGAAGGGGAACAAUUUGAAUUGCAGUUCAAAUUCAGCAAUAAGUAUCCUUUUGAUUCACCAGAGGUGACCUUUGUCGGAAAUAACAUUCCAGUACAUCCACAUGUAUAUAGUAAUGGUCAUAUAUGCUUAUCGAUUUUAACUGAUGACUGGUCACCUGCUUUAUCUGUGCAGUCUGUUUGCCUUUCUAUAGUUUCAAUGCUCAGUAGUUGUAAAGAGAAGUCUUGUAUUUUUUAGAAAAGGCCUCCAGACAACGCAUUUUACGUUAAAACCUGUAAUAAAAAUCCAAAGAAAACAAAAUGGUGGUAUCAUGAUGACUCAGUUUGAAAAAUAUAAUUAUACUACUUAAAAUUGUGAUUUAUUUAUCUCUAUUGUAGGUCUUUAUAUUUUAUAUCAUAUUCCUUUAUUGAUUCAUGAAAUUUAUAGGAAACAUUGAAAUUUCAAUAGUGCCUGCCAUGGAUGUAUCUAUUUAUGUUAUUGGAGAAUAAAGUGUUUUUGACCGUU